Molecule: ribosomal RNA, 516 nt
Filed under: uncultured bacterium
Lineage: Bacteria
Description: partial 16S ribosomal RNA
Rfam family: Bacterial small subunit ribosomal RNA
Source: RNAcentral
ACUCAAAUGAAUUGACGGGGACUUGCACAAGCGGUGGAUUAUGCGGUUCAAUUCGAUGAUAAACGAAAAACCUUACCAAGGUUAGAAAUCUAAGUGAAGACAAGUAGAAACAUUUGUCGUCCGCAAGGACUCUUAGACAGGUGAUGCAUGGCCGUCGUCAGUUCGUGGUUUGAGUUGUUCCCUUAAGUGGGGUAACGAACGCAACCCUCGUUGGCUGUUACAAGUGUCAGCCGAGACCGCCCAGCUUUUAGCGCAUUAAGAUUUAGUGCAUUGAAAGCUGGGAGGAAGUGAGGAUGACGCCAGGUCAGCAUGUCCCUCUGACACCUUGGGCUACACGCAUAAUACAAUGGCAGAUACAACAGGUCGCGACGUCGUAAGACUGAGCUAAUCCUUAUAAAGUCUGCCUAAGUUCGGAUUGGGGGCUGCAACUCGACCCCAUGAAGUUGGAAUCGCUAGUAAUCGCAGGUCAGCUAUACUGCGGUGAAUACGUUCUCAAGUCUUGUACACACCGCCCGU